GGUAUUUUGACUAUACGAAGGUGUUGAAAUAAGGUUUUAAUUGAAUGCUAAGAGAAUGGAUAAAUGAUUAAAAGCUUUUUUGAUAGAAAUGUUAGAAUUUUAAUUAUUAGUGAAGAUGCUAAUAUAAAUUUAUGGGACAAGAAGACCCUAUGAAUCUUUAUAUAAUUUUGGUUGGGGCGACAUAAAUAGAUUUUAAAGCUUUAUUUAGAGCCAAUAAAUUGAUUAAAUGAAAAAGAUACUCUAGGGAUAACAGCGUUAUUAUUUUGGAGAGUUCUUAUUGAUAAAAUAGUUUGCGACCUCGAUGUUGAAUUAAUGGACCUUAAGUUUGGAGAAAAAUUUUUAGGGAGAUUGUUCAUCUUUUAAAUCAUU
This 369-nucleotide ribosomal RNA is filed under the name Eyndhovenia sp. RNAcentral's name for it is "partial large subunit ribosomal RNA". The stretch from base 103 to 369 matches the Rfam family "Bacterial large subunit ribosomal RNA", at positions 2046 to 2597 of the family's 2925-position model. The record is from RNAcentral. Lineage: Eukaryota; Metazoa; Arthropoda; Arachnida; Mesostigmata; Spinturnicidae.